AUCUAUAAAAUUCCAUCAUAAUUACAAAUAAAAUCUGGCUAUAUUUUUAUUUAACAAAUUAAACGGAUGUAUUUUUCAAUUAUAAUUACAAAUUAUCCACGAACAAGGAACUUAGAUAACACCUUAGAUCAUCAAUACAUAAAUAAAAACUCGGCUCUUCUAUAAUGAAGCACAUUAGAUGCAAUUUUCAACUAGUACACACAAUGCAAGUCUUGUUUAAAAGUACAUUUCUUUUAGUGUCUUUAUUCGCAAUUUGUGAAGGAUUUGGCUUAUUUACUUGUCGUGAACACACCUGUGAUACCAUAACAUGUAAACCAAAUCCCAAAUGUGGUAAAAAUCAAAUCCUUGGUGACGGAUUUUGUAAAUGUUGCAAGGAAUGUCAUACCGUAUUGAGUGAGGGUGCCAAAUGCAGAAAUUUGAUGCUGAUAGGUGGAACACCGCAAUCAAUUUAUUGUGAUCCCAGACAAAAUUUAAAAUGUAAAAAUAAUAAAUGUGUUAAAAUUAGAGGUUGCAAAAAUCCCUUUAUAAGAUAAACAAUUCUAUAAAAUAAA
Aethina tumida (small hive beetle) is the source of this 551-nucleotide long non-coding RNA. RefSeq lists it as uncharacterized. The transcript has 2 exons. NCBI's taxonomy places the organism in Eukaryota, Metazoa, Arthropoda, Insecta, Coleoptera, Nitidulidae. The record is from RefSeq and is a predicted model, not a curated record.